AAACAGCAUAGUAGCAGCACUGACAGGUCAGGCUCUGCAGUUUUUGUGUCCUCGUCAUCCUUUGUUCAUCAUAAUAACUUACAGAGUAAGCACACAACUGGAAGUAAUGAAAAGAACAAGGGAUAAUUAGUUUUAAUACAGAUUAUUGAAGAAUAAACUGUCCCAUGCAAAGGAAAGAAAUUACUGUAUCUCAGAGGACUGUGGCUGUGAGCACCAAGGCUGAUCACAGACUUUACUCUGCAGCUUUCAGUGGCCUUUUGCUUUGGCUGCAAGAUGAAGAGUCUGAAUUGGAUCUGAAGUGCUGUGGAUGACUAAGAUAGAUAGCAAGGAAUAGGUUGGAUUCCUUCGGAGCAGCCCUUGCUCUGCUACAAUGUUCUGUAAUACCAGGAAUUUGAAAUCAUGACCUGGAAGAGCAUGUCCUCAGGCCCCAGACAGGGAGGAUGUCAGGUGAAGUUUUCCCACCAAGGAGACUGGCAAAGGCCUCACUGUGCUCCUCUAUGUGAUUCUUGUCAGUCAUGAGCUCAGAGUUACUACAGAAGUGCAGGCUGGCCUAGCUGAUAGCGGCCUUGUGUGGGUAGCCAAACAGUGGCCUCAGACUCUGCAAAAAAUGCUUUCCUCCAUUGUGCUUCAAUGGAAUGUUCUCAGAUGGAUGUUUUCACAUGGAUGUUCUCAUACAUUCAAAGCCUGCUGAUCACAACUCAGGUCAAUAGGCAAUUAAAUGUUGAUUUUAAUAAGUGUAUGUUUGAGUACCCAUUGUGAAUGCCUGUCCUUCAUCAAUGCAUGAAUACUCUGUUCGCUGGUUUUGAAAAGAAGUGUAUUAAUUAUGUGAAAUACUGAGCCCAGCCCAAACAUCAAAAGGACUUUUAGGUGCUCACUUUCUCGCUGGAGGGCUGGUUGAUGAAUCUGAUGAUCUAUGAGCUACAUUAUGCGUGACCAUAUACUUUGUCCUUAACAUUUGUUGGAUUACAUACAUGUAAAUCUGAAAUUAUUAUGAUUCUCAUAAUUCUUCCACACAUUCUCUGUUGCAAAAAUCAUGCUUCAGAUUUAAAAUAAAU
This is a long non-coding RNA of Gallus gallus (chicken), 1055 nucleotides long. The record is from Ensembl. NCBI's taxonomy places the organism in Eukaryota, Metazoa, Chordata, Aves, Galliformes, Phasianidae.